Long non-coding RNA from Pyrus x bretschneideri (Chinese white pear), 909 nucleotides. RefSeq lists it as uncharacterized. Lineage: Eukaryota; Viridiplantae; Streptophyta; Magnoliopsida; Rosales; Rosaceae. The record is from RefSeq and is a predicted model, not a curated record. The transcript is spliced from 2 exons.
UUAGAUAUUAGAGGCAGAUAAGUAAGCCUCUAAUAUAUAUUUCUUUAAUUUAAUAUAUACAUUUCUAAAUUCAACAUAUAUUUUCCAAAUUUAAUAAUUUCCAUUAGGAGCGGAUGUGAUUAUGUAUGCACUUAUAUUUAAUUAUUUUGUAUAUUUCCUUAACGUAAUAAAUAAAAGAAAUCAUCAAAACCCUAUUUCUCUGAUAACCGCACAUCAAUCUCCCCUAUUUUCUCCUCCUUUCACGGCACAAACUUCCCCAUCUCCCUUUUCCUUCAUAUUUCUUGUCCUGAUCUCUCUUUCUUUCCGAGAUAUUUUUUUCUCUUUUUUCCUUCUUCAUUGCUUCUUAAUAUUGCUACCUUUCAGUAUCGUUUGAUUAAAUUUUUUUUUCUCUCGAUCUGCUAUUUAGCAGGUAUAUUUGACGGGAUGUGAAGAAUUUGAAGUGAAAUCGGUUAUAAAUCUCUUGGUUGUGUUCUUUAUUUAUCUUUUCUGUUUUAUUUUUGUAUACAUUAGAUGAUGAAUUUCAUCAUGAAUCCAGAUUGGAUGAAUUAGGUUUGAUUUUUCUGUUUGUUUUGCAGGUUUUGUUUGCUAUUCGUAUUGCGAUGGGUGGAUGUUUAUCCUCGUUUCUUUUCAUAAAUAGAUUAAAGAUGGAUCAUGGAAGAUGCAUCAUUUUGAUGUAUUUGUAGAAAUUGAUCAUGGAAGACGCAUCAUUUUGUUGUUGGGAAUCAAAAGACCGGGUGUUGAUUAGAUAUAAGUUUUGCUAAAGUCCCUUAUGUACUACUUUCUGAUUUUUAUAUGUAUUUUCCAUCACAUGUCGAUCGAAGUUUUUUUUUUUUUUUUUUGGUAACUAUCGAUCGAAGCUUAAUCUUGUAUAUCUAAAGAGUUUUGAAUGAAAAUUGAAUUUUGAUUCUA